Molecule: ribosomal RNA, 481 nt
Filed under: uncultured bacterium
Lineage: Bacteria
Description: partial 16S ribosomal RNA
Rfam family: Bacterial small subunit ribosomal RNA
Source: RNAcentral
GAUGAACGCUGGCGGCGUGCUUAACACAUGCAAGUCGAACGAAGCAUUUGCGACAGAUUUUUUCGGAAUGAAGUUGCUCAUGACUGUGUGGCGGACGGGUGAGUAACGCGUGGGUAACAUGCCUUGUACUGGGGGAUAGCAGCUGGAAACGGCUGGUAAUACCGCAUAAGCGCACAAUGAUGCAUGACACGGUGUGAAAAACCCGGGUGGCAUAAGAUGGACCCGCGUCUGAUUUGGCGGUUGGUGAGAUAACAGCACACCAAGGCGACGAUCAGUAGCCGACCUGAGAGGGUGACCGGCCACAUUGGAACUGAGACACAGCCCAGACUCCGACGGAGGGCAGCAGUAGAGAAUAUUGCACGAUGGAGGAAACUCUAAUGCAGCGGCGCCGCGUAAGUGAAGAAGUGAGUCGUUAUGUAAAUCUCUAUCAGCAGGGAAGAUAGUGACGGUACCUGACUAAGAAGCACCGGCUAAAUACGUG